RNAcentral lists this long non-coding RNA (40443 nucleotides) under Daucus carota (carrot). Its description in RNAcentral is "long non-coding RNA (DCAR_LNC001363)". Lineage: Eukaryota; Viridiplantae; Streptophyta; Magnoliopsida; Apiales; Apiaceae. The record is from RNAcentral.
CCUAACAAUAUUAAACUGGAUAUAAAAGCAGAACACAAAUAUCAAACUCAAGCCCUCUCGCCCCUGAUCCUCCUGGCAAGCUGAAUAUCCUUAGGCAUGAUGGUGACACGCUUGGCAUGAAUCGCGCAGAGAUUAGUAUCUUCGAAGAGUCCAACCAGAUAAGCCUCAGCGGCCUCCUGAAGAGCAGCCACAGCAGAGCUCUGGAACCGAAGAUCAGUCUUGAAGUCCUGUGCGAUUUCCCGAACAAGUCGCUGGAACGGAAGCUUUCGGAUCAGAAGCUCGGUUGAUUUCUGGUACUUGCGAAUUUCUCGGAGCGCGACGGUUCCGGGGCGGAAACGGUGGGGCUUCUUGACGCCGCCGGUGGCCGGGGCUGACUUCCGGGCGGCUUUUGUCGCGAGCUGCUUGCGGGGGGCCUUGCCGCCGGUGGAUUUGCGAGCUGUCUGCUUUGUUCGUGCCAUUGAUGGGGAGAUGUUGAUACAGGAUUUGUGUGUGUAUAGCUAGGGAGAGAUUGCAGAGAAGAUGUGAGUGAUGUGAUGCAUGAUUUGGGGGUUUAUUUAUAAGGAAGGUGUGGUGGGGUGUGAGUGAUAAGAACCGUUGGAUUGCGGGUUCAGUGGACGGUGAGAGAUUUAUUUGACGCGGAUCGGUGACAUGGCGAGGAGUAAAGAUUGUGUAAGUUGAUCGUGGCCGUUGGUUUUUGAUCUGUCAGAGUGUGUUUUCUGGAUUGACGCGGGUGAUUCGAAAAUUUCGGAAGGUGAUUUGUAUUUUGAAAUUUCUGAAGUGCCCGCCUCCUAUUUGCUCAGCUUCGCGCAGCGAUUUAAAUUUUACUCCUCCGUCCCAUUUUAUAUCCCAAAAUUUUAUCCACUUUUAUGAUUUUCCAAAAAAAAAAAUCUAUUAUAUGUACAAUUUUAAAUAUUAAUUUUUAAUAUUAAAUUCACUUCUUCUCUAUUUUAUAUUGUUGGAAUGAUGAUAUUUAUACAUAUAAUUUAUAAACUUAAUUUUGACAUGUCACGCAAACUUUUCGUCAAGAAUUUUGUAAAGUUGUAGAUGAUCAAAAAAAUGAAAAAUCAUGAGACCCUCUAGAUUACUUUUUAAAAAAUGAUCCGUUCUUUAAAGCAAAGAAGUGCAAGUAAAAUCCUUGUUUGUAACCAAGUUACCAGCUCAUGGAUAUAUACUAACAACUAAUUUUUAUCUAUGUAAUGAAUUUUAAUUAGUUCUCUCAUUCCAUUUAUAAUGAUAGCCCCUUACAUGCACAAAAAUCCUCACCGAUCAAAAUUUCCAUCUGAAUAAAAAAAGUCAUUUUUAGCAUGUGCUCGUGACACAUACUAGGAAGAUCAUAUUUUAAAUAUAGCAUGUUAUUAUUAUUUCAAGAUGUUAUAAACGAAUUGUAUUGUUUUAAUAUGAAUUGAUGAUGCGGCAUUUGCUACAGAUCUCGACUAGUUCGACAAAUAUAAUUAUUCAUAAAAGCUUGGUUAAAUUUACAAACAAGGAAGAGUAUGGUUGGAGUGUUAUAUAUAUUUUCAUGAGAUUAUUUUUAUUUUUUAUUUUUGGCAUGUCAACUUAUUUUUAUUUAAGGAUUUUUCAUGGUGGAAGUUGCUCUCAGGACAUUUCCAACCGGGCUAGGCAAAUUGGACAUGCGUGACAUUUUGUUAAAUUUGUUAAAACUGCAAGAUCUUGUACUUCGAUGAUAUUAACUAUAUUGGUUUGACUAUAUUUUUAAAAAAAUUAUGUUAUUAAACCGGCCAGAGUGGGGAGGGGUGCCGUAAAUUAUUGGCUCUUGAACUUGUUUUGUGCCCCUCACGAACCUGUUGGGAUUCAGGGUCAUGAGGCUUUACUGGACCUGAGGUGUAUUGACUAGCGUCGGGAGUGGUCUCAAAUGGUGACGAGCAGUGGAAAAAAACAUGUAAAAAAAUGAGUGGGACGGAGAAGAUAGUGUUAGUAUAACAUUGUAUAUUAGAGCGUCUCGAUGGUGUUUGGCUUUAAUCGUUGGCUAAAUUAGAUGUAUAAGACAUUAUUUAAAUUUGGGAAAAUAGAUUUUUUUUUACCACUCAACUUAUAGCGUUUUUAGAAACUUACCACCCAAUUAAUUUAUUUUUUCUUUUAGUCACUAAUGUUUGGUUUGAUUUUAUUUUUAACCACCAACUUAGGUUCGGAUUUGAUUACUAGAAUUAUGAUAAUUUUUUGUAACAUCAUUUAUACACAGUGAUAAUAUGUAAUAUUUUGAUUAUGUGUCGUAUGUUUAUAUCUUUAUAUAUAGCACUAAUAAUAUAAAAUGAGCCGAUGAAAAAUUAAAAUCUGAAAAAAUCAUAAUUAGAUUUUAAAAAUUCAAUAAAUCAUGAAUAUGAAAUUAAUGACUUCAAACAAUUCACCUUCUCUCCUAAGAUAAAGUGUAAUUGAGUGAUAUGACGCAUCAUCUUUCACUAUUAAAGUUUCAAUUGACUAGCUCAGUCUAAGAUCUCUCUUAAAUUUAUAUUCAAAAUUUAUAAUAAUGUUAUCUUAUUACCAUUUUCAAGAUAAAUAAAUAGAGAGGAAAACUUAAUUUUCGAUGAUUGUCCUCUAUAUUUAAUGCAUCAUUUUAUAUUAUUAUUACUCCCUCCGUGCCUCUCACUAGUUUACAAUUUUUUUUAUUGCUUAGCAUGUAUUUAAGACUCUUAUAAAAUAUAGUUCCAUAACUUAUUUUUGUGAUUUUUUUUUUGUGUAAAAAUUCAAACGCUAAAUUUUCAUUCGGAAGAAAAAAAAAGUUAUAUAUGAAACUACAUCUUUUAAAAGCUAUGAAAUGCGUGUAAAAUUCUUAUCAUCCAAGGUAAACGACCUUGGAGACAUAAAAAGUACGGUAUACAAAGAUACAAACAUAUACCAAAUCAUCAAAAUAUUACAUACCACCACUAUAUUUUAAUAAUGUUACACAUAGUAUGUGAUGCUAAUAAUCAAAUCCGAAACUAGCUUCAGUGACAAAAAAAACUAAAUCUAACACUAAUGAGUAAUAUAAAAAAAUUAUAGUUGAGUGGUUAGUUUCUAAAGACGCAAUAAUUUUAGUGACAAAAAAAUUAUCAUAAUACUAGUAAUCAAAUCCGAACCUAAGUUGGUGGAUCAAAAAAAAACCGAACCUAACAUUAGUGAGUAAAAAAAAAAAAAAUAGUUGGAUGGUAAGUUUCUAAAUUUUGUUGAAGUUGUAAGAUGUUGUGUUUCAAUGGUUUAGCCCUAUAUUAGUCUGGCUAUAAUUUCCCGCACAUUUCUUACAUAACUAUGGAGGUUCGACAAAUAUAAAUAUCGAUUGGAUGUUGGCUGACAUUAUAGACAAGGGCGGGGAUGGUCGGAGUAUUAUAUUUUCAGGAUAUUGGUUUUUUUUUUUUUUUACCUUGUUGACUCAUUUUUUACCUAAAGAUUUUUCAUGGUUGGAGUUGCUAUCAAGAGAUUGGCUAAAAUUAUAGAUAAGAGGCUGAGGUGGUUGAAUUAUGAUAUUUUUAAGGUAUUGACCAUUUUUUUAUUUUUUGUAUGUCAACUCAUUUUUUAGGUAAAAAAAUAAAAAGAUACUUCUUCCGUCCUACCAGGUUUUUUAUAUUGGGAAACGGGAACUAAGCACGCAUUUCAAGGCUCUGAUUAAAUAUAAUUCUAUAAAUUAUUUUAAUUUUUUCUUUCGAAUAAAAACAUAAUAUUUAAAUUUUUAUUCAUAAAAAUUAAAAAUAAGUUAUGGAACUACUUCAAAAAAAAAGUUGUGGAACUAUAUGGCAUGUUUGUUUUCAAGAAGCAGACGCUAAUUCUGACUUCUGUUUUUCUUCACCCGUUUCUGUAAAUAAGUAAAAUUACAUUUAAGAAGCUGAGAAUGCUAGCUUUCUCUCUCAGAGCUUUUGUUUCUUUUCCAAGCACUCUAUUAACUCAUUUAAUUAUCACUUUUAAUCCUUUUUUUACUUUAAGCAAGAAAUCACUUUUUUAAAAUUUACCCGAACGGUCCAAUAAUCCAGAGUUUAAGAAAAUGAGUGGGACGGUGGAGUUGGUGUAAGGAAUUGUUUAGCUUAGCUUAAAAAAAUGUGCUUCUUGCUUAAAACGGAAAAAUGAAUUAAAAGUGAAAAUAAGUUAAACUUAUAAGUUCGUGAAAGUAUUUGAGAAAAAAAAUAAAAAUCUUGUAAUAAAAACUAUUAUUACGCAAACGAGUUAAAAAAAGUAGAAACAACCUCUUAAGAAAAAUUAGAAAAAGUGUUUUUUUCCCCAACACCACCUGCACCUUGAUCUCUCAUGUCUCAAAAUAGCAUAAAAAGUUUACAUCAUACAACAGCUGGGAAUCUCCGGGCACCGGAAAUUCAAACAGCCACAAAAAAUUACUCCGGUCAGUCAUCAUCACCGGAAAAAUUGUCGAUGCAAGAAAAAAGCACUUCUAAAUGUAUAAUAGAGAAAUACUACUACAGCUUCGCCGAAUAAACAACCAUGAUCAUUCCCAUCACUAUAAUUCCGGCGCCGGCAGGGCAUUCAGAUCAAUAUUAAACUCUCCCAUACUCAACUUCAAGUCAAUAACAACCGAAGACUCCUCAGAAUCAUUCAGUGAACACCCGUUGACUUUGCACGAACCUCCGUUGACCGCCCAUUCUCCCGUAAACCCUAAAGUGAGAUCCAAAGUUUCGUCACUCUCCGACUCAACAGUACUACUCUGACUCACACUCCCGUGCACAUCUUUCAUACAAUGAGACGUUGUAUAAAUACCCGUAAGAUUAUAAUUAAUAUCAAAAAUCUCGUCUGCUCUAGGAAAAUUAGUUUUCGCAUUGACGCCGCGGAAACUACGUGCCGCGGCGUCAUACGCCAUAGCGGCUUCCUCAGCCGUAUCAAAUGUACCUAACCAAACGCGGUUCUUUUUGUUCGGGUCCCGUAUUUCCGCGGCGUAUCGGCCCCACGGCCGCUUUCGUACGCCGCGGAAAUGCGGUUGUUUUAGCGUCGUGCUAGGUUUUGUAGUAAGAGGAGGCGCUGUUCUUUCUUUCGGGGCCAUGGAGAAGUUUGUGUAAUGUGGUUGUUAAGUUGGUGUGUGGAUAUAUAGGAAAGUGAGGUCAAGGAGUUGGAGAGAUGGGUGAACGAAAAGGAAAAGCCGCCGCCGCCCUGUGUCAUUAAUUUAAGUAGCUUGUAUCGAGUUUAUGGAAAGUGGUCCAUUAUUUUAUUUACUUUUCGUGGGCGGCAGUCCCUCUGUAUCUUGUUAUCGUCAAAUUAAUUUUAUAAAAUUAUUAGUACCAUCUUCUUAUAGUAAUCGCAUAGUAACUGGUGUUUUUCCGUAUUUGUUUUAAUAGUUGCCUGUAAACAUACCGGCCUUGUUAGGCUCAGUUUUAGAACAUUUGCAGCCCCAGAUGACCUUAAAGUUACUCCCUAGUCCCUCCAUCCCUGAGUUGAAUAUACUUACGACAGACGUAUGCGACGCGGAUUUUAAUGAUUUUAUAAAAUUUAAUUUAGUAAUUUAAUUUUAAGAUUUUCUUUUUAAUAAAAAAUUUAAUGUUAUUAUUUUAUCUAGAAAAAAAUUUAAAAAAUAUGUGAUAGAAUUAUAUUCUCUUGAAGCAUUGAAGUGCGUGUCGAGUAGUGAAAGAAAAGCGUAUAGAAUUAAAUAUGAAAGAGAGAGUAUAAAUAAAAGUAUAGAUGUUUUAUAAUAAGUUCAAUUCUAAAAGGAUAUUUUUCUUGUGUAUAAUUUUAACUAAUUUAAAUUUGUCCAAUCUUGGAAAGCACGUAAGAAAAUUCCAAAUCAUUCCUUGAUGUUAAGUUAUUUAAGUCAUAUAUUUAAUCUACAACAAUUUAAAAUAAUAAUAAUAAUAAUAAUAUAUUAAUAUAUAAUUUUAAAAUACAACCUAUUAAUACAGGGCAUACGGUCGAAACAUAAUAUUUUAUAAAUUCAGUGAAUUUCAAAAUAAUCACAUUUUAAAUCAUUUUAGCUAAUUAUAUUGAAGAUGCUCUUAUAAUAUAUUUAAUUUUAAAAAAUAUUCUAUAUUAAUUUAUUUUAAUUAAAAAUAUCGGUAAAAUUAUUGAGAAAAUGCGAAAUAUAACACUUUUUCAGGAGUCAAGCUCAAAAUGACCAUCUGCGAAAAAGGUGCCCAUUUUACCCACUCAAAUGCGCAUUUCACAUAUGCGUAUGUACAUUUUUAAAAAAAAUAUAAAAAACACGUAUAUAUACGAUGCGCAUGCACUGUGCACAGUAUUGGCAUACGCAUUCCCCACAUGCGUGAAUGUGCUAAGUCAACAGCAUAUACGCACACGGAGGACGCGUAUUCUUUGUUUUUUCUUUGUUCACUACACACGCAUACGGUGAAUGCGUGUUUGAGUGGUCAUUUAGAGCACUGUCCGUGCACAUGAUCAUUUUGAACAGUGUUAGUGUAAAGUGGUUAUAAAAGGCACUUAGCCUAAAAUUGUUAUGAAUAUAUAUUUUGAUAUCAUUGAUUAUUUAUGUUUUAAAUAUUAGUAUUUAAUUAUUUGAAUAAAUAUAAAAAAUAAAAUGAAGUUGAUUUUCAAACUUCAUGUAUGGAUUUGAUAUUGUAUUUUUUAUAAACAAAUAUUGGGCAUGAUUUUGGAAUUGGAUAAAACCCGUACCUUUCGUAAAUCAAACGACUCUUUAGGAUACUCAUAAUUUAUUACUCCCUCGGUCCCCUCUAUUUCAUUACACUUUCCUUGUUGGAUAUCCUAUCCAAUUCUUUAAAUUUCAAAAUUUACCGAAAAUAGUCAAUGGGUCCCUCCACUUUUCUUUCUUUUUCACACUACUUUUACUCCAAUAUCAUCUUUUUAUACAUUAAAAAUCAAUGAGUCCCACCACUUCACCUACCUUUUUUUUCCUCUUUUUCACUAUUUUAUGCAUAUUUCUUAACCUCCGUGUCCAACCCAUUUGAUAAGGUAUGGGAGGGACGGAGGGAGUAUUUAUAAUUAUGAUAUCCGCUUCCCUUUAAUUCUAUUCACUUUUUUCUUCAAUUUUAGCUAUAUUUUUUUAAAGAUAAAAUAUAAAUAUAAAUAUAAAAUAAAUACAAAAAUGGAUUGUUGUCUCAAUCAAUAUAUUAAUUUUUUAGAAAUAGCAUAUUUUUAUUUUUAUUUUAAAAUUAUUUAGGAGAUGCUCUUUUAAACGAAUACAUGCUUGCAUUAGAGCAUCUCCAAUGUGCUCCUCAAACAAGCUCUUAAGUCUAAAUUUUAGGAGGAUAUGAAAAAUUAGAGUUCCAAUAGACUCCUAGUAACUUUUUAAAAAUUGAGCAAUGCUAGGUACCCCAAAAGAUUUUCCCAAAAAUUGUUACCAAAUGAUGUGGCAAACAAGUGGAGAGUUAUGAUUGGGUGAUGACUGAAUCCACAAGGGGGCCUCAUUAUUUUGGGAGUAAAUGCAACCAAUCAGGAUUAGACACCUCAUUUGGUAAAAAAAUUUGGGACAAUUUUUUGGGGUCCCUAGCAUUUUCCUUAAAAAUUUAAGAGUUUUCUCUCUCUCCUUUCUUUUUAAAGAGCAUCUAGGUGCGCUCCUAACUUAUUUUCAUUGAAUAAAAUAAUCACUUUAUUCUAUUUCUGUUCACCUUGCUCUAAUUCUCUCUCCAACUUUUCUCUUAAAUAGUAAUAAAAUAUGAGUUAAGAGCAAGUAUAAAGGGCAUGGUUGAAGUUGUCACGAUAUUCAAUGUAUUACUGUAACUUACUAGGAGCCACAUAUUAUAUUAUUUUUUUAAAAAGAACUUAAGAGCACCAUUGGACAUGCCCUUAAAAUGAGAGAGGGGCGAAUGGGAAAGGAACCUAAAAAGAACGGCUGCUGGGCCGCUGUCUCUGUAUCGUGUACAUUCGACCCAAUAGCUACUUGGAUGCAGCCCGGAGUUUCUAGAUUUACUGCGACGUUUUCAAAUCAUACAUGUUCACAAUUCAAAGUUCAAAUGAAUAAUGAUGAGCCAGAUGUCCCAUUUAUUCCUGCGGGGACGGUGAUAGCUUUGCAUCUGUCAGAAACGUGACGUAGUUUUUUGCGCUCCUAGACUCAAUUCUAGAUCUGUUUUAAGAGCACCCACAGUGCUUGGGGUUACUUUCUUUACUUUCUGAUCCCACGCAAAAGCCACGUAAGCAAAAGAGGUUCUGUGAAAUAAAAUGGUCUCGUGCCUCCAAUGCUGAGCCCAUUUCACCUCUUUUAAUAAAAUUCUUUUAAACUUUAUGGGUCCCGCAAUGCAGUAAUUCAGCCGAACUUAAGUGAACAAUUGAUUAAUAAAAAACUAAAGAAACCAAAAUGGCCAGGGACGGCGAAGAGGCACCGGGCCACUUCCUUCUUAUUCAUUCAAGGUUGUCCAGGGUCAUUUCUAUACAGCCAAGACAGUUUGCGCAUCCCAAGACACCAAGUGACCCUCCGUUGCUGCUGCUGCUCUAAGUUAGAUGACUGUUUGUUGGGUGUAUUUUCAUGAGCACAUGUUAAACAUUAAAAUAUAUAAAUUCGAUUGUUUGUUGCGAUUCUCAUAAAUGCAGGGAUCCAUUAUUAUUAAAGAGGAUUAAACGAUCAAAACAAAAGAAAUUUAUCAAUUUUUGUAUAUAUCAUAUACUCAUGAACACACCUUUAUCAAAGUUUUUUUUUUGACAAAGGUCUUAUUACAAUUUUAAUAAAAUUUCUUAAAUAUUUAUUAUAUUUAAUUGUCAAAAGUCGUGACUAAAGAAUUAUAUCUGACUAAAGAAUUAUAUCUGACUAUAAUACAAGUCAAAAUAAUUAUUGAAUACAUAAUAUUAUAUAUUUUAAUAUAUUACAAAUUUGAUUAAGGAUCGAUUUUCACUUGACCGGAAAAAUAAGUAGAUAAGGAUAAAUUUCAAGACAUAUACGUGUAAUUCUUUCUUUUAUAUAGUUAUUAAUUUAUAUAUUAUAAAUAUUAAUGGUGUAUUAUAAUUCCGCAUUUUGAGGAAAUAUUAGUGUAUUUUAAAAAUAAUAGUUAAGUUAUAAAAAUAGGGUUUCCAUUUGGGUUGGGAUUUAGGUAAUAUCCAUUUCUAAAGAUUUCCGAUUUCCCCGAAUCUGAUUUAAAAUUUCUCAGAUUGGGUUCUGAUUUUCAUUUUUGUGUAUUUUUUAAAAAUAGGUUUGAAUAUAGAUUUGUAUAAGCAAGCAAGUCAAUACUCUCUCUGACCCAUUUUAACUGAUAUUUGACUUUUUAACACGUAUAUUGAGAUGUAAAAAUAAUAAUAUAUACACUCAAUAAAAAAAUUAAAUUCUUAUGUCAAAUAAAAGUUUAGAUUCUAAAUAUUUAUUUAAUAUAAAUUUAUAAUAAAUAACUAUGUUUAGAUGUGAUUUUUUUAUAUCUUAAAAUAUGUGUAAAAAAGUCAAAAGGAUUUAAAAAAGGACUGAGAGAGUAUCAUUUUUGAAUUCGAAUUAUAAAUGAAAUCGAGGAGGCAAGUUGAGAAUAUUAAUUAGCAUAUUAAAUCUUUUUUUUGGACAGAAAAUACACUUGCUCGUAUCGAUAAAACGCCGAUACUCCGAGGAGAAUCCUUCAUUUAAAAAAGCUUAUCAUCUAACCGAAAGACAUGAAAAUAUCUCCGGAAGUUUAGACAAUAAGACCUUAAUGUCCGAAAAGAAAAUGUCCCAACUUGUAAGACCACGCUACCUGAAACAAAUACAAUUGAUUAAUAACAAUAAAAAACAAUAAAUUUAAUAAUUAAAAUCAGUAUAGUUUAUCAAAUCAAAAGAUGGUAAAAGUGAAUGAAAUGAUAAAUAUAAAAAUAAUUCGACAAAAACAGAAGAUAAUAUAGGAAAAAAAACAGAAAAAAAAAUAUCUAACCAAAGGGAGACCCUUUGGCUAGAUAUAUAACAAGAUAAAUAAUCACUAAGAAUAAUUAAUGAUAACGGUAUUAAUCAAUAAAAUUGUAAUCUUCAAUAAAUAUCUAAAAUUUUAAGUAACAAAUUAAAUAAAAUGUAAUAAGCAAGCCAACAAAAUGACACUGAAUUGCCGUUUAUUAGGCCAAGAAUAUACGCCAUCAAUCAUGGCCACCCAUAAACGGUACAAAUAAAAGCCAAAUCAAGAUUGCAAGUCAAUAUAUACCAGUUAACAUAAUGCAUUAAACUCCAAUCAAUGAGAAUUAAAGCAUUUAGAGCAUAUAUAUAUACAAGCUUCCGAGAAAAAAUAAAAUUCAAAGAUUAACGCCAAUCAAGUGAGUCAACUUACCAUUUAAAAAACUAAAAUUUAAACUGCAAUAACUACUAUUAAAGCCAAUUUAAUAUAAUAAAAGAGGGCAAAAACCUUACCAAUUUUACAAAGCAAAGCCUUUAAUCAUGCAAUAAAAUUAAUGAAAAUAUUUUCAGAAUCACGCUAAUCGAUACUACCAUCUUAUCAUCACCAACCAUGAGUCAAUUUACCAUUUAAAAAACUAAAAUUUAAACUGCAAUAACUACUAUUAAAGCCAAUUUAAUAUAAUAAAAGAGGGCAAAAACCUUAUCAAUUUUACAAAGCAAAACCUUUAAUCAUGCAAUAAAAUUAAUGAAAAUAUUUUCAAAAUCACGCUAAUUGAUAUUACCAUCUUAUCAUCACCAACCAUCACCAUAUCUCGUCAAGUCACUAACAAUAAUGAUGAAUAAAUUCUAACCUAAGAAGAUCAUAAAACACAAUUGCAAAUAAAACUUGUGACUCAAAAAAUUGAUAAGAAAACAACAUAUUAAACACCUAAUAUACAUCAUAACUUUGACUACACUUCACCAAUAUUCUCAUCUACCAGAUAAAUCAAAAAAGACAAAAUUAUGACAUAAAACAACGCCUACAACAAUUGAUAAUCGCGCACAAAUACAAACUUAGAAAAUCCGAAUAUCACAUCAAGACUUUUAAAAACAUAAAGUAAUAUUGAAUAUAUUAAGAAAACAAAUAAUCACAUAAACAUGUAAAUUAAGAAUCGGAAAAAUUACACCUUUACUUUUGAAUGUCGAAAUCUUGACAUGUAGAUCCAUAGAUGAGCCCUAACGCGACGAUUAGAAUACGUGUGUAUCAUAUUUGUUGGGAAAGAAUCACCAGCACUCCUUUUCUCGUUCCAUUAUCGUGAUGCAUGAUCGGAUCUAAUUGAAGGGCAACCCUCCACAGAACCGGAGUUGAUAAUAGAGUUAGAGUUUGUAUUAUUGUAGGCAUUCUGGUGGAACAAGAAGGAUCAAGUGUUGGUGUUCUUGUUUUCUAUUUCUAUGGUUAAAUAGGAUAAAACGUGUGAUAAACAAAGGUGUAUUUGAUGUCCCUGCAGAGGUAGACUAUUUUGCAGUUUAAUGAGCUAGAGUCGCCGAUUAUGGCUUUUGGGAGGGUACCUAAUGAAAUACGAGCUGCAAAGAUCCUACCGCUGCUGUUUGAGGAGUUGCAAAGGGAGUCAUACUCAGAGGGAUGUUUGGUAAUUAGCAUAUUAAAUCUAAACUCGAAUAAAUUGAUUAAAAUGUGCCUCACGUAUAACGAAUGUGUAUAUAUAAGAACUAGAAAAUAACAACAGUGUUAAAUGUAUUUUUGAUAUACAGGCUUGAGAAAAAAGCCCACACUCUUCUCCCCGCACCCGCUCCUUUUUUCUUUUUUUCGUUCACAACCGUAGGGGCUUCCACCGGAUCUCUACCGGUGAAAAGCCUCAGACAGUUUUUAUUUUUUUGUUUUCUUCUUUCUUUUAAUAAAUUUUGUAAUUUUCCUAAGGAUCUUUCUUGUUAGGUGAGAUUGAUCCAAUUUUUUUUAAACUUUGGCAUUAGUUUAUUUUUCGGAUCUAAGGAUUUAAAGCCUUUUUCGAUUUGAUCUUUUUUUCUUAGAUCUUAAUUUCACGGAAGUUCUUUCAGGUGAUUUUAUUCUAUAAAGUGGUCCGAGUUAUUUUGUUUUGUGCUUUUGUUCCUUAGAUCUAGGGAUUUUCUUGGUUUAAUUAGUAUUUUAUUUAAGUAUUUACAAAUCUGAAGUUGUUAGUUUAUCACGUUUAGUUCGUGUUUAAUUUUGGUUUUUUAUGUUGUCUCACCUUUUGUGUGAGUUUUGUUAUUUUCUUACCAUUUGUGUGAGUAUGAUGCUUUAUUUUAUAAUGAAAGUUGUUAGGGGAUUGCAUUCUCAGUCGAUAGCUCAAACUGGUUGUGGCGGAAGCAAAUGUGACGAAGUAUGUGUACAUAUCAUCUUCAACAAAUCACGUGAUAUUAUCUCUAAGAAGAAUGGAUUGAUUAGUGAUUGUUUCUGUGUUUUGUUUGUUUAACGCGACUGUUUAUAUAGCUGCCGUAUGGUUUUUUUUAUUAUUAAAUUAACUCGUUUAUCAAAAAAAAAACGAAUGCAUAUAUAUGCAAACCUUUUCUGUAAUAUACGAGUAUUUCAGAAAACUGAACAGAGAGAUGGGUAUAACAAACAGUCAAACACACAAUAAAUCAGGCACUACCACACGGGUAGUCCAGCCCAAAGUGUGGUGUAAAGUGUAAACAUAGCCUUUUUCCAUGUCAUUGAAGCCGGACCGGGGAAGGACUAAGGACCCAGUUGGAGGCUGUGGAAGAGUCGGGUUUGGGAUUUAGAAUUGAGAUAUGUUUUUUGGCAAAAAAAAAAGAAUUGAGAUAUGUUUGGCCUUUGGGCCUUUUCUUUUUAUUUCAAAACUUAUAUUAUAAAAUUAUACAGAUGAUGCAUGAAGUCAUGAACAGAAUAAAUUAGCCGAAUUUGUCUCAGGAUAAUGUCGUAUUUGUAGUUUGAACAAUUGCCGGUGCUCUUUCAACAUUAAUGUAUUCUGUGAUAUUUGAGAGUUAUUUUGGUUAUCAAUUUAAAAUUUAUAAUGUUAUUAAAAAAAUUUAUUGACAAUUUAAUAAAACUUUAAGCUAACUACAAAAAUUAGUGAUCAAAUAUUUAUAAUUGUAUUAAAAAGAUCCUUUAAUUUGGAUCUAUUUGAGUUCAUUCUCUACCCAGACUUAUUAUGUUAUACCAAAAACGGCAAGACCAAACAUAUGUUGUGCUGGAUUGAAAUGAUAUGAUUAAAAUAAAAAAUCUAAAUAUCUAAAUAUUAGAAGCAGGUAAAAGUGAUUUGAACAAGUUUGUGUAAUUCGGUCAAUAUAUCAUUUUCUUCAAAUUUACAAAGAUAAUAUCAAUUUUUUUUAGACAUGUCACGUGAUAAUAUAAGAAAUGAGAGGACGAUCAAAAUAAAAAUUGUAAACAAACGAAGGAGAUAGAGAGAGUAUUUGUUAUAUAUUAUGGGGACUAUAUCUGUUACUGAAAAUUUUAACGUAUUCGAUGCGGUUGAAUUAAAAUUUGAGAUCGGUAAGAAUAUUCGUAAACAUAAAAUCGUUAAUGGGCCUUUUUGUUUGACAGAAGCCGCUUCUCUUUUAGUUUCUGUUUUUCUUGACCCAUUUGUAUAAAGAAGUACAAGCAAGAAACUGAAAAUCCUAACUCCUCUCUUACGAGUCCGGAUCCUCUGUCUCCUCUAUGUGUCUCCUUAUAUAUCCUAUCUUUUUUAUUGGUCAGUUUUGUAUAUCCCUUCUUUUUUAUUAAUCAGUUUUUUACCUUGAGCACGUGAUAUAUAUAUAGUUUCUCUUUAAUUUUUUCUCGGAUAGUCUUUCACUGUUAAACUUUUUCAAAUCUAUAUAAGGUCGUUCUUAGAAUUAUUAAAAUAUUUUUUAUAUAGUACAUAAUCAACCAAAUUCUUUUAUAUGACAUAAAUAUAAUAUUAAAAAGUAAUUUAUACUAUUAUAUUUUCUAUAUUAAAUAAUUAAUUAAAUUUUCGAAAACAUAUUUUUAAUAUGAUUAAAUUAGAAAGCAAAAAUAUACUUUAUUUAUGACUAAAAUUAUAUCAAAAUAUUGAAAUGUUUUCUUAUAUAAUAUUUAAUCUACUAAAACUAAAUUCUAUAUAAUGAAUUUUUUUGUAAAGCAAAUUUAUUGGUAUAGAAAGAAAUUCACCCAUACAUUUUUUAGAGAAGCAACUAAUACAAAUUUUUUUGAUAAAAUAUAAACUGUACAUCAUAGAGCUAAUAUUUUAUGCAACAAAACAACAUGACUGAGAAUAUAAAAAUUGAUGUAUAAACAGCAAAACAAAAAAGAGAUAGAGGAUCACGUGGGAUGUAAAUAAACUGGCCAAUAAGAAAGAAGAGACAUAGAAAGAGACACAAUAAGGAGACAGAGGAUCCAGACUCAGUUAAACCAAACAACUAACAAACUAACAAAAGUAAAAAUAUUCUUACAUUCAAAUAUUAUAUUCGGUAUAUUUACUUAAUCUUUUAAGAUAAAAGCAAUACUCAUACAUUAGAAAAAAUAAAAUAAAAUAAAUAAAUACCUNNNNNNNNNNNNNNNNNNNNNNNNNNNNNNNNNNNNNNNNNNNNNNNNNNNNNNNNNNNNNNNNNNNNNNNNNNNNNNNNNNNNNNNNNNNNNNNNNNNNNNNNNNNNNNNNNNNNNNNNNNNNNNNNNNNNNNNNNNNNNNNNNNNNNNNNNNNNNNNNNNNNNNNNNNNNNNNNNNNNNNNNNNNNNNNNNNNNNNNNNNNNNNNNNNNNNNNNNNNNNNNNNNNNNNNNNNNNNNNNNNNNNNNNNNNNNNNNNNNNNNNNNNNNNNNNNNNNNNNNNNNNNNNNNNNNNNNNNNNNNNNNNNNNNNNNNNNNNNNNNNNNNNNNNNNNNNNNNNNNNNNNNNNNNNNNNNNNNNNNNNNNNNNNNNNNNNNNNNNNNNNNNNNNNNNNNNNNNNNNNNNNNNNNNNNNNNUUCUUAGAAUUAUUAAAAUAUUUUUUAUAUAGUACAUAAUCAACCAAAUUCUUUUAUAUGACAUAAAUAUAAUAUUAAAAAGUAAUUUAUACUAUUAUAUUUUCUAUAUUAAAUAAUUAAUUAAAUUUUCGAAAACAUAUUUUUAAUAUGAUUAAAUUAGAAAGCAAAAAUAUACUUUAUUUAUGACUAAAAUUAUAUCAAAAUAUUGAAAUGUUUUCUUAUAUAAUAUUUAAUCUACUAAAACUAAAUUCUAUAUAAUGAAUUUUUUUGUAAAGCAAACUUAUUGGUAUAGAAAGAAAUUCACCCAUACAUUUUUUAGAGAAGCAACUAAUACAAAUUUUUUUGAUAAAAUAUAAACUGUACAUCAUAGAGCUAAUAUUUUAUGCAACAAAACAACAUGACUGAGAAUAUAAAAAUUGAUGUAUAAACAGCAAAACAAAAAAGAGAUAGAGGAUCACGUGGGAUGUAAAUAAACUGGCCAAUAAGAAAGAAGAGACAUAGAAAGAGACACAAUAAGGAGACAGAGGAUCCAGACUCCUCUCUUACACUGCUUAUUUUCCAAAAACUUUAUUCACUUACCAAUUAUCUAAUUUAAGCAAGCAGUCACUUCUUUUAAUUUGUCUAGACGGCCUUAAUAUACCGGGUUUCAACGAUUUGAAUUCAACCAAUUUUUAAUUUUUAGAGUCAAGUAAAUACAAAUAUUCAAAAACAAACAACAUCGAUCUCUUUUGUUCUUUCCCAUUUUUAUAAUUCCCUGACAAUGAUAGCUUGCAUUCUUAAUUCUUCUUCCUUCUCGAUAACCUUCUCUCCCUUGACUUUUUGAGAUAUGGGUCCCACGCACCACAUCACCCAGCCGUACAUUUUAAUCUCUACGGUGUUCAGAGAUCCCUAUAUUUUAUAAAUUUAUUGUACAUAAGACUAUAGUUUAGUUUCCACAUGAACAGUCACCUUCUCUUGUACACUUGCUAUAUUUUAAUAUGUAUAGUUAUGUUGUAUAUAAUAUAGUUUCGCUCUGUAUUAUCUAUAUGCCAGAGGAGAGAUUUCAUUAUAGAAUCUGGAGCAGGUCAGGGAGCUACCCUAUUGGUAAGUUUCAUGAAUUGCUUAGAUCAUGUUGUUAUUUUGUGUUUUUAGAUUUUUUGUUUCAUGGGGUUGUUUAUUUUGUUAAUUUGAUUAAUGGGUAUUUUUUAGUUUUUUAAUUUAUCAUUAUGCUUGAUGGUGGUUAUAGCUUGUUUAUACAUGCAAUGAUCUUUGUUUAUUUAGUAGGUUGGUUGUAUGAUUGUUAGUAUUGUUUGUGUGUGUUGAGGAUCAGCGUUUGUUGAGAUCAAAUUACAGCAGAUUGUGUUGGUAGGGAUCUUAAUUUUGAUUGCAUAAAGAUUGGGGUUUUGUUGUUUGUGAUAAAUUGAUUUGAGCAUUAAAAUAUAUGGUUUUUGUCUGAACUUGAAGGUUUGUUUGACUUUUGGUAUGGUGGUGGUUGGUGAUCUUGGAUUUUGGUAUUUGUCGAUUUGAAGGUGUGUCAUGUUUGCUGAUGCUGUAUUAUAUUCGUUGCCAUGGAUUUGAGAAUAUUGGUCAUGUGGUGGAGUUCUUGACCUUUUGGUGAAGGGUAAAAUACUUGGUGGUUUGCUUAUACUCCGGAGGAUUAAGAAUGGAGGAACAGAAUUCGUGGAUACGGAGGACGAAAUAUUCUCAUAGUGUCUACCAACGUUCGGGCUCUGCAAGACCGGAUCCAGGUUCUUUCCAUCAUUCUAGUCAAUUUUUGGGUGUCAGAUCAAGAGUUGUGCCUGGUUCUCAUCUGCAACCAAUAGAGUCUAGUGUUUCCGAGGUUCAGAAAAGUCUUGAAAUGAACAAGCAUUCUAGUCAAUUUUCAGGUGUCAGGUCAAGAGUUGUGCCUGGUUCUCUUCUGCAAUCAAUAGAGUCUAGUGUUUCUGAGGUUCAGAAAAGUCUUGAAAUGAACAAGAUCAAGGCUGUAUCACCUCAUGUUAGCCCUCCCCAAACAGCUUUCGAAGAUAAAUUUGAUCAGAACAAAUUGUCAACUGAAACUCUUGGAACUGAUUCUCCUUCACAACAAUCAGGUUCUGGUGCUCCUCAGCUUCGACGUAGUUCUGGAAGAAGCAAGUUCAGGGCUGUAUCUCCUAUUACUCAGACCAAAAUUCCCCGGACAUUUAAGGAAGCAAGAUCCAAUAGCAAGAGAUUCUCAACUCCACAGCCAGUAAGACGAGCUACUGAAAAGGGAGUUCUAGCCAAGUUCUUGCACAAAGAUUCGUGUGAGAAGAGGGCUCCUAUCUAUAUGUCAAGCACCAACAUUGGGGAGCUUGGGCACUUCGCUGCAAUGAAUAUAAAUGAUAAGAAAAAGGGCCGGAAGGAGUCAACAUGGACAAAGUACUUUGAUCAUGCUGGGGGACGGGUCACUGCUAUUGAAUCAGCUGAUGAGUGGAUGGUGGAUCUUUCUAAGCUAUUUCUUGGGCUUAAAUUUGAUCAUGGGGCAUAUAGUCAACUGCAUCACGGAAUCUACAAGGACGAACCUGUAGCUGUAAAAAUUAUUAAAGUACCAGAUGGUGAUGAAAAUGGAGAUCUUGGAGCUAAACUAGAGAAGCAAUAUACAAGAGAAGCAACCCUCUUGUCUCGUUUACACCACCAAAAUGUCAUAAAGGUGACAACUUUUCUAUACAUGUCUUUACUGCUUUAUACAUACAAAACCUAUGGAAAUGCUUCACUUGCAUAACUAUAAUCAAUAUCUGCAUAAUAUAACAACUGCUUUUAAAGAAACGAACUAUCUGCCGUGAAAUAGUUAGUUUUAGCAAUGAAUUAUCUAUCUAGUUAUAUCAUCAAUUGUGUACAGAUCCUGCUUUUUUUUAAUCUAUGAGAAUAGAUGUCCUUUCAAUGCUAAUUAUUGUUCCAAGUAUAUGCGAGUUAUUCAAUUCACAUAAUGGUUUUGCUCAAUUAGUCAAUUGGUCUUAUGUGGCUCACUGAGACACUGACUGUCGACAAUAGUGUUUUAGCUUUAGCAUGUCCAGAAUAAGUUUUAUUUUUGUCACAUACGGUAAAAAUCUACUGGGUUGAAGUAUACAUAUCUAUGCACAAGCUACUGAACAUAUCUGACAGUGGCAUCCACACUUGGGUUACAUAUUCACAUUAAUCCAGCUCUUUUAACAUUUUCUCCAACUUUUUCUAUGGGUAACACAGUUUGUGGCAGCAUGCAAAAAACCACCAGUCUUCUGCAUCAUCACAGAAUAUCUCUCUGAUGGUUCUUUGAGGGCAUACCUGCGCAAGCGCGAGCAGAAACCUCUCUCAUUGGGAAAACUAAAUUCAAUGGCUCUUGAUAUUGCUCGAGGGAUGGAAUUUAUUCACUCACAAGGCAUAAUUCAUAGGGACCUCAAACCUGAAAAUAUACUUAUCAAUCAAGAUUUUCAGCUGAAAAUUGCUGAUUUUGGAAUAGCUUGUGACGAGGCAAAUUGUGAUUCUCUGACUGAUGAUCCUGGCACUUAUCGCUGGAUGGCCCCUGAGAUGCUCAAAUGCAAAUAUUAUGACAAAAAGGUAGACACUUACAGCUUUGGAUUAAUAUUGUGGGAGAUGGUAACUGGAAGCUUACCUUACAAGGAUAUGACCCCCAGCCAAGCUGCUUUUGCUGUUUUAAACAAGGUAAUAUCUUGAGCUGUAUAUCCAUAACUUGCAUAGGAACUGAGAUCUUAAAUUCUUGUGUUAUGUGUACAUCUCUUGUUUAUGUAAUUUUGUAUAUUGAAAAUCAUCACAGUUGCAUGUUUUCAAGUAUUAAUUAGCUUUCAUUUGUCUAACUAAUUAUCUCCUGCCACACUCCCUCUGAUCAAGUGUUAUAUAGGGUGUUUUUUAUGGACAAAAUUGUAGCUAAAUGCUUUACCCAGGACUUAACUGGCGAUGCUUGCUAAUUGCUUAAAAGUAAUAAAAAGUAGGUGGGCGGAACAGUAAAUUUAAAAUAUUAAGUGAGCAAGUUAUAUAGAUCAUCCAUGAUCUUUUCAAAAUCAUUUGGUAGUAGUCGGUUAUCCAUGUGAUCUUGAUCAUAAUCUUUUCUUUGCUUCUAGAGUCGUGUUCUAUGUUUCUCUGUGAAUCUGUUUGAUUCUCUGUGGGAUGGGGUAAAUAUCUAGUUGUUGUCCUUCAUCUAUACUGGUCUGUUUUUUGUUUUUUUUUGUACCUGCUUCUAUGAUCAACUCGUGGAUGAUGUUAUAACUCUGUGAUUCUGACUUUCAAAUAUUGAUAAUGUUAUCUUUGCGUACUCAGAUGAAUGCCCACAUCCUUUGGGACUUCCUCAAGUUUGGGUUCAUCAUUUGUUUUAUCUUAUGCUAUUUACCAUCACUCCAUCAGUAUAAAUUUCGAUGAGCCUGAUGGUUGAUGAGGCUAAUUAUCCUUCACAAAUGUUAUACACUCAGGAUAGUUUUUGUUAUCCUCAGUCUGUGGCAGUGCACAGUGAAAAUCAUUCUUGCUAGUAUUAUUCUCUUCUUUCCUGUUUUUCUGUUUGUCUUCUUUAGAUAGCACCUUUUUGCUAUAUAUCUUCUCCUAGUAAAUGGUCCAAGCUUUAGUGUAUUGUACAAAACCUAAUUUCAGUUUUCACUCUCUCAGAAUUUAAGACCAAUGAUCCCCGAGGACUGCCCCCCUAACAUGGGAGCAUUGAUUGAGCAAUGUUGGUCCUUGAGACCAGAUAAGAGGCCGGAGUUCUGGCAGGUUGUUAAGGUACUAGAGCAGUUCGAGUCUUCACUUGCACGUGAUGGAACCCUAAAUAUGGUACCAAACGCAAUAUGCCAAGAUCUUAAAAAGGGGCUUCUUUAUCGGAUGCAAAAGCUUGCCCCUGUGCGUCCAAAUUCUCUACCAAUGCCCAAGCCUAGAUUUGCAUAAAUUUUCAUCUUGGUUAUCUUGAUCACAUUGUGACAUUCAAGAUCUCAUUUUCGUGUUGUAUUUUUCUUAAACUUGUCAGCAGGUGUGAAUUACCAUAUUAUAGGAAUGCAUUCAUGUUAAUUUUCUGUAGAAAUAAUCAUCAUAUUCAGGACAAGUUAUACCUUGGCCAAAUCUUUUUUUGGAAACGCAGAAUUUGCAUUAGAUCAUCAAAGCGUCAUACAUAAUGCUCUCCUACACCAACCGUGGAGACAAAAAAUCAAUAAAGCUAUUAACCUCGCAAGCAACUAUAGCUAACAAGUGGGCUACUUUGUUAGCUUGCUUUCUAAUAAAAUAAACGAGACAGAAAUGUCCGGGCGACCCUUAUCAGUGAACGACUCUCCUGUAGUAAAUUGCCUGCUUCAAGAAGGUUCUCCGUGUCCUUGCAGAUUGUUUGCAGAGUAAGCAUGGAAUCACAUUCUAUCAUUACAUUCUCUGUUCCUAGCUCCAUCACCCACUUUAUAGCCUCUAAAACACCACGAGCCUCUGCUUCAAACACUGAAAACUCUCCUUCCUGACACAUACACCAAGCUCCGCAGAAUCCUCCCUCAUGGUCUCGUAAGAUCAAUACAAGUGAAUAAUUAGACCUGCUGAUGCGUCUACAUUAACCUUAAAUUGAUUUGCCUCUGGAGCUCUCCGUUGCCUUGCAUCACUGAUCAGUCUCUGAGCUCUUGCAUUUGCAUUUCUACCUUUUGAAAUCCGGGGCAUUCGCAAUUUUCUUGCAUGAAUGUGAGUGUCUUUACUAUGUCGCAACUCGCAAGAACUUCAUAAUAUGUUUCGGGACAUCAUGACUACAGACAAAAUUAUGCUGCCAUUCAUUUCUAGCUCGCUAGAUUGUUAAAGUAUGCAGUCAUUUAUAAACAUACAAAUACCAUAUUAUCAAACAAUUAUUUGAUUUUUACCAAUUUUUAUUGAACAACAUAAUAAUUUUUGAUGAUAUUUUCGAGACAAACAGUUAGUGAGUAACACAAUACUUUUCUUUUCGGUUGGACUAUUUAUCCUUCCUACUAAAAAAAAUUUGAAAGUCAAAAAUUCAAGAAAAAGAAAAAGGUUUUCAUAAGUUUUUUAAUCCUUAACAUUGGAAAAAUGAAUAACUACAUAAUAAAUUUUUAUUAUAUACAUUACUCUUAUAUAAUAAAUAAAUUUUAGUAAAAUUUUAACUAGUUUGACCAAAAGCCAAAUAAGACAACUAUCAGCGAGUACGUGUAAAUACUUUAAAUAUAUUAAAAAAUUAAAAAAAUAAUUAAUAAGUAUAUUCAGUUACCAUAAACUAUCCAGUGAAUUCUCAAAACAGCCACAGUUGAGACGCCAAAAGAAACAAGAAAAAAAGAGCAAGCGUUGAGACUUGAGAGUUGAGUUCAGAGACGAAAAAGGAAAGAAACGAAGCGGGCCCUGCCGGAAAUGUCGAAAGAGCUGGAGCCAGAUGUUACUGGUAAGUCGAAUUCGUCUGGCGUAUAAUAUAAUCAUGUAUACACCUUGAAGCUAUUGUCAUACUUGAUCCUUAUGAUUUCAUGUUGUUAAAUCAUUAUUAUCGUUAUUGUUUUUAUACGCGCCCGUAGUCUUGUUUUCGACAAGGUUCGAACCUUCGACAUCCCAUAAAAUGAUUCAGGUUAGUUGAGGGUAUAUGAUUCACCCAAAUCAACACUCAUACAAGGCAUUUAGCUUAGUUUUCAAAUUUUAGGAGUGGUUUUAUCAAGAAAUCAGCAUCUUGUAUUGUCAAUUGUACAUAAGAAUUGUAUGAUUCAGAUAGGCAGACAAUAUGUAUAAAAUAAAUACGUAAUCAGGUUUAUUAUUCAAACUAUCAAAAUUGCCGAGUCUUUUCAAGUAUUUGUGAUUUGCCUAACUACUGACGGACUGACACUUUGAAAUUAAUUGAGUCUUUAUUAGGGACACCAGUUGAUCAGUUGUAUAUAUGAAAAAUAUUAUUCUCACUUGAAUGUCAUGCAAUGCAGGGUGGGAUGUCUCACUAUGGCGAAGAUUUCACAUGAACACGUAUAUUUGUUGUGUGUCUGUGUGUGGUGCGUGGGUGAAUUUGGUGGAUGCUGGAAUGAAAUGAAACAAAGGGUGCCGUUGAAGUAGAAAGAUUAGUGAUGAAUAAUAGGCUUCAGGGGUAACAGACCUCUGUAAGCUGUCGGUGAUAACUUCAUUGACUCUCAUCACUCAAAUCUUUUCACCAUGUCAGGCAGCAAUUGGGUAAAACCAUCCUCUUCUUUAAUUCAGUAAAAUGAAAUUAGUAGUUAUAUAGUAUUUUCAUAAUAUUCCCUGCUUAUGUUAAUUUGUGGCAAAUUCUUAGAAGAUUGAUUUCUUAUUCCGUUUGCAUUUUAGGGUCAAUUUAGUGUUUCAUAGUUACAUUUCUGUUCUAAAUUUUAAGAUACAUAUCAGGCAUUUCCAUAAUUGCAACAAAAUCAACCUAUUAACAAAAUCUUCCUAUUAAUCAACUAAAUUAACUAAAAUGGGUAGCUCCAAAUAGAGAGAUUUGAACUAGCUGGAUAGAACCAAGCCAUGUAUUUUAGAGUUUAACAAAAGAGAAACCUGGAAAGCCUAAUUCAAGAUCAUACAAGUGCUACAAACUUAUUUUUUGAUUCGCAUACGAAAUGUUAAUAGAACCCCAUUAAAUCUGGAUUUAAUAUAUUAAAACAAAAGUCAAAUCCAAGAACUCGGGCUUAAAAAAAACUUUUGUAACCAAAUAUCUUGAAAAUUUUGCAACUCUACGGACACAGUGAAAUUAACUAUAAUCUGUGGGUUUUGUAGCUCAUACGCUCUCUCUUACCAAGUUAUUCUAUAAACUUACAUAAUCUUUUAAGAGAACCUUUGCUAAAUUUGAAAUUACUUAAGAAUGCUCAGCUUCUUAGAGUAAGUCCAGUACAAUGUUAUUAUACUUGCAUCUAUCACUAUAAUUUGGCAUCAAAUCCAAAAAAAACUCAACUCCAAAGGGGUUUCAUAUUUGGAUGCAGAUAUACAUAAAUGCAUCCUUGCUACAUCAUCAAUAACUAUAAUUGAGAGGAAGAGUUAAACAAUUAUUGCAUUGUACAUCCCCAAAUAUCAAAAGCAUAUUAAAUUGGGUAGCUAAAUCCGAAAUUAGUUUUUAAACUAGCAUUGGAGUGCAACUUUUAUUUCAACACCAAAAAACACAAAACCACUUUUUUCAUACUCUCCGUUUCAUUGGUAGAUUUCCUGUAAAUUUUCCACUUCCUAUAUAGUGAAGUGUGAAAGUGUUCUAAGAUAAGGAUUUGAAAGAUUAGUGGUUCUAAAAGAAAUAAUCUUUGUUGUUAAGGUGUGAGAGGAGAUAUAUUGUUGGUAAUUGUUGAUUAAUUAAUGUUCAAAAAACGUGUUAAUUACAAAUAUUGUGUAUUUAUAAAUAAUUGUGUUCUUAUUGUCUAAGAACGUUUUGAGUCCACUUAAAAAAAUUGUCAUCCAAUUUGGGCUUCAUAAUUUACUAAAAGGGACUAUUGCAGCAUAGGAUGGAUAUAAUCGCGUUGUGACUUGCCAUUCUAUAUCCUAGGAAUUUUAUUUCCAUAUGUUUUUUAAUUGUGAAUUUUAUUGUGGUUUCGUCGACAACUCGGUUGUAUUGGGAGUGCUGUUGGAAUCUUGGCUGUUACCUUUCUCAACCAUUUACCUUUUAUUGCUAUUUCCAAUUUGAAUUAGGAGUCUGAAUGUCUGAUAUUUAUUUUUUUGAUAUCCGUUUACUGCUUGUAAAAGACUACUCAUUUUAUACGUUUUAGUUUGCUCCUAUGACUAAAUUUAUAUAUUAAAUUAGUUUAUUGUUUUAUUGUUUAAGAAAAUUACAGGAUGUAUACAACAAAGUGAGAGUGGGAGAGACGGUUUUUUUUUGUACGUAGGACCAAUAGAAGGCCGCUUAUUCUCUAUUUAUGUUGAGGCAAUAUUUGUUUAUUGCAAAAGUAAACAUAGAUACACAUUUUUAGGAGAAAAGAAAUGAAAGGUAAAAAGGGGGCAGCUAUCCCGCCGGAAACGGUGAAGAUGAAAACCCUAGAGUGUGAGGUGUUGAGAGGAAGCUUGUCGCCGUCGAAUACAAGAAAGUUUAAAUUGAGCACCAGGCAUCGGGAGGGUAACCAACCUCUCUACGGCAUUUCUUACAACUUCCUUGACUCUCAUCUCUUCGAUCUCUUUGCUACUGUCGGCGGCAAUCGGGUUGGUACCCCCAUUCCUUCAGUUUGUCUAUCUUAUGUCCCUGAUUUUUAUAGUGUAAAAAUUGAAUUUUGUCAUUUUUCGUUUCGCCUUAGAUUAGUUUGUGGAUUUCUUUCUGAAUAUGAUUUCUUUCACAUUAUUAUGUAAUUUAUGUUUAUAUUUUUUAUCUGUUUUGCUGCUGUUGUAAUUCAUACACCAAGGUCUUCUACACAUAUCAUAUUGUUUUAGAAAAAAUUCAGUAUAUGGUUGUACUCUUACUAGAGCGAAGUUCCCUAGAACAACUCCGCUCAGAGAUUGAGAGGUUAAAACAAAAUGUAUAACCUAGAGUGAAAUCGACAACUAGAGGAGAGAGAAAGAGGUAGGACUCACGAACUCAAAAAUCAAAACUCGUGCCUAAGUGCCAACUACAUCUCAGCGAAUUGACCAGUUAUACAACUGGUUUUGUUAGCUACGUCAAGUUGUCAACAUAUUCAACGCCUACUUUUGUGAACUUACUUUCAAAACGUAUACUUAUUAAUGAUGACAGUUCAUUACUCUCCAUGCUUGUAGCCUGAUGUCCAGUAUUGUCUCAACUUUAUACCCAUUAUUGUGAACCUAGCAAAUCAGGUUUUUUUUGGCAAAGCUGAGGUGCCAGCAAGUCCCAACCGAAGUUGGGAUUCUCCAAGUGUAGCUCUACUGUUAUAUCUCUCUUGUUUUUGUUCCUUACUUGCAAAAGGGAUUUGGGAAGGGGACUUAAAAUACCUAUGGGAUACAUAAUGAUCUACUCUUAGGGGUAGCUGCUUCUUUUUUGGUUUUUUCGUGCUUAUAUAGGCAUGUUUGAUCAAAUUAUUAUUGUUGGAGUGUUAUCAUUUGCUUAUUCUAUUCAUCUUAACAGGUGAAUGUUUACCAAUGCCUUGAAGAAGGUCGUAUCGCUCUUCUCCAGUCUUAUGUCGAUGAUGAUGUAAGUAGAUAUGUAUAAAAUGACCGACCUUGUAUAGCAUAUCUGUGUUUGUGUGUUUAGUGCAUGCAUCGGAUUUUGUAUUAGCACCAAAAGUUCUGAAAACCAACUCAAUUUGUUGCGUAGGUGAACGAGUCCUUUUACACAGUAACCUGGUCAUGUAACCUUCAAGGGAAACCAUUAUUGGUGGCUGGAGGAGUCAAUGGUGUAAUUCGAGUCAUUGAUGUUGGAAAUGAGAAGAUACACAAGGUAUGCACCUCUAUAGUUUCUCGUAAUUAUUUAGUUAUUCAUGUGUGAAAGAAGCCUGUAACUGCUACACGUUACACCCAGUGGCGGAGCCAGCCCAUGCUCUUAGUGGGAGUCAAAAAUUUUUGAAAUAAAAAUAUAUAAUAUCCAAUUUAAAAUGGCUUAUAUUCACCUAAUAAUUAUAAUAAUUAUUAUAUAUAUAACUCUUGACAUGUUAGAUUGGAAAGUCGAAAGAUAAGUGUUAUUAAAAUAUAAAAAAAUGAACAAAUUUUACACCUAAAUUAUUGGGCCAGUACGAGUACGACAGUUGUUAUGAUGAUAGAUUAUAAAUUCUAGUUAAAUAGUUACACCUUACAGCAAAACAUAUAUACAUAUGGAAAUAGUAGACAUUGCCACUGCUGAGAACAAAAUUCAUAAAAAUAUGUAUAACAGUGUCUUAAAUAUGAUCUCACUUUAUUAAUUAACAUUUAAAUUUAAAAGUGUAUAGUAUUAAGUACUCAACUCAUCAUACAUCGCCAUAUUAUGUCUCAUGCAGCCCAGUUUUUGCAUCUGGUCCAUUUUAGUAUGGCGCUAUUUGAUUAUGCCUGAAUAUGCAUCUUUUCGGCUCUUCUACACUUUUACCGAAUGAAAUCACAUGAACAAGCACUCAAGGAUUCCAUGUAACUACUAAAUUUUUUUAUAAAUCCUAGCCGGGUCCUGUCACCCCGCCUGCCACUGUUUACACCUACCAGCAUCACCAUAAAUAUCUANCCCCCGCCUGCCACUGUUUACACCUACCAGCAUCACCAUAAAUAUCUAAAAUCUUUAAAGGGAUUGAACAAUUUAAACCUUUAUGAUAACGUUUGAAAUUUGUUUGAUUUUUAGUAAUUUAAGGUAUCAAGAUAUCAACUUACGACUCCCUACAAAAGUGAUUCCUCAUUCCCAUGAUAAUUCCAGAUCUCACAACAAAAGAUUGAUGGGGACUCUUUUUUGGGACUAACCUAGUAUUAAGCACAUAGUAAAAACAGGGUGUCAAUCUGUUUUGUUUGGACUCUGGACAUGGUAAAGUGAUUUCUAUCUACCAUAUUUUCGUUCCCAGAGGGAGUUUAUUUUCCGGGGGGGGGGGGGGGGGGGGGAUGGUACAUAUGCAAAACUAACAGUUCUUUGUUUCUGCACAUUUAUCUGAAAAGCACACAAAGAAUUUUUAUGUCUUUCAUUAAUUAGAAAAUCACAUUUCAUGGCACUUUCCCCUUGCUUGACAUGCUUAUGCAAACUCUUGCUCCAAUGCAGUCCAUCGUCGGUCAUGGUUACUCAAUAAAUGAAAUCAGGACCCAGAUGUUAGAACCAUCGCUUGUACUUUCUGCCAGCAAAGUAAGCACUGCGACCUUUUACUUUUAUGUCCUGUACCUUAUACAUUCUUCUGUAGCCAUGCUUAUAAUUUAUAUCAUGUCUACUUCGGAAUAGGAUGAAUCUGUUCGUCUAUGGAAUGUCCAGACUGGAGUAUGCAUUUUAAUAUUUGCUGGAGCUGGAGGGCAUCGAAAUGAAGUCUUGAGUGCGGUAUUAUAGGAAUUGCGACUUCUAAUACAUUUGAAAUUCACUACACUAUCCUUAAUGUUAAUUGAUAGAUUUUCUUUUGAGAUAUCACCUGAAAUGGUUUGGUAUAAAUCUUUCAGGACUUUCACCCUUCAGAUAAAUAUCGCAUAUCAAGCUGUGGUAUGGACAAUACUGUCAAAAUCUGGUCAAUGGAAGGUAAGUUAAUUUUUUAUGGUUUAUCAUUUUCAUAUCUUAAUGUGAUAGACUAUAUAACGUGGUAGUACUGAGAAUUCUCUAUUGUACAUUUAUAUAUAUGUAGGCUUGUGUUCAUCAAACUCUACCAAAGUGAUUUAUGUAUGUGUUUUUUUGUGUGUCUGUGCACACACGCAGAGCAAUGUAGAACUCAGGGUAUGCCACGGUGUAACCCGAGAUUUACAUAGUUCGACGUUGCCUAGUUGUAAAUAGGUUUGGUUGGUCCCAAGCCCUUUCCCUAUUGGAUAGGUUUUGGUUUUGAAUCCCUCAAUGAACUUUUUUUUUUUUGAGAUGCAUUUUAAUAUACUGCCUCCACCACUGUGUGUGUUUUGUGAGGUAUUUAUGGGUUGCAACAAUUGCAAUGAAAUUAGGGCAUGUUUGUCUGGUCUUUUUUGAUAAAUAUAAGGACUUAUUUCGGGGAGAAAUUUUAUAUUUAUAUAACAUUUUUUAGUAUAACAUAUUUUGUCGAACUAUUAGAAUUAACGUUUACACUGUUAAACUGCAUCUUCACUGGAAAGAACUUAUAUAAACUUUUUGUCCAGGAAAAAUUAUUGCAUAGUCAUCAUUAUCUAAUUUUAUCAUCAUAAUACUCAGAUAAUAUUUUCACACCUCCCUGAUUAGCUACUUAUGUUGUGUUUGGUUGGGGUGAAUGAAUUUGGAAGGAAUGGAAUGAGAUUUGAACUAGGGUUGCGUUCACUUGGAUGGAAUGGAAUAAGGAGAGAAUGAAAUUAAAAAUUAUAAAGAAGUUUUACGGAGAAAGAAGAGAGUAUGAGUCUAUGAGAAAAUAGUGACUAUACAUAAGUGAGUCUAAAUUUUCUAUGAUGAAGAUUGUAAGGAAACAUGAUGUUGAAGUGGAAUGAGUAUUCCUCCCAAAACAUGUGGGUUAGAUUUCUAGUUCAAAUAUUUUGGAAUGGAAUGAAUUAAGGAAUGAAAAUGUGUAGACGUUUUCUCUAAUCAUUCCCAAUUGAGAGUACAAAUUUCAUUCCAUUCCAUCAAAGUGAACACAACCUAAAUUAUGGACGAAUUUUCGAAAAUUUCAUUCCUUCCCUCAUUUCAAUUUUUGGAUCCUAAACUAGAGCUCAAACACACCAAUUUAAGAAGGAAUGCUUCUCUCACCAAUACCCACUUUCUUCUUAAUUUCCAUUUUAAAAAUUUUGCACAGUCGUUUUUUUUUUUCCAAAAAUUGCAUUCUCCCAAACCAAACACAACAUUAAUAAUAAAUUGAAAUUUAUGCCCUUGUCAAUUGUUCAAUUCCAUUUUAAUGUCCCGUUAUAUUCUGCACAAUCAUUAAAGGUGCAUUAUAAACCAAAUUUGAUUAUGAAAAAAAGUCAAACUUUGAUCUUAAUAUCUGUACAUGUUCUCCCCUAUAUAUUAUCAGGGUAUUUCAAACUUGAGAUGUGAUAUUCAACUAUUUAUUGAUGGUAAAAAUGGAGAUCGAAAAUAGUUUUAAACAGAAUUUAUGAUAUAAAGAUGAUAUCUGUACCUUCCAGAAAAAGAAGGAAAAUGGCCAGUAGGGCACAGAGAGAUAAAUACCCAAGAUAGUUGCUGAGGAUUUAGAGUAUAGGAGAGUGGAAGAUAAUGAAAACCUGAGUUUCUUUGAAAUAGGAGUUCAUUGAAUUUCUAAUGUGUGUGUGUGUGUGUAGAGACACAAGAUUUUCUUUUUAUCACCACAUGAUUUUUUUGUUGUUCCUUUUGUUUCUCGAAACAAAAUAUUUAGCCACAAUGUAAAUAUUGAAUAAGUAAAUUACCUAAACAUAUGUUUUUCGUUCGUGUAUCUAUAGAUUACAUCUCUGCCAACAAGGCUUCCAGUCAAAUUUUUUGUAGUCAGUUGAUGUUGGCGGUAGUUACAUGUUUGUCAUGUUUAUAUGCAUUACGCAAUUUGCAUUCCUUACAUAAAUUGAUAAUGUUAAGCACAAGCAUAUUUGAGACCUAAUUGAUGGGACUUAAGGUACUCUUCUAACUUCGAAAUAAAUUUGAAGUGUUGGUUUAGAAGUAGGCCUGCUUGAAUAGAUAAUGAUCGUAGAUAAACACAACCUCCGACAUAUUAUGGUUCAUUCAAUUAAUGGUACUACUAAGUUCAGUUCUUCAUACUUUUUUCAUUGCGAAUGUAUCAUCAUGCAGAUUAUUGGACUAAUGUCGAAAAAUCUUUCGCAUGGACUGACCUACCAUCAAAGUUCCCUACAAAAUUUGUGCAGUAUCCGGUAUGUGGCUCUCAUCAUCUUCUUUCUUCCCUGAUCCAAUUAUAUUCGUCUAGAAAUUUGCCAAAAAGGAUCUGAGGUUCUACUUUCAUUCCAGCUGUUUAUGGCUAAAGUCCAUACAAACUAUGUUGACUGCAAUAGGUGGCUUGGCGAUUUUAUCCUGUCCAAGGUGCAGUUGUACUUAAUGCACCUCUGAUUAACAGUUCCCUGCUCUAGGUAUCAAACAGUGUUAUUAAGAACUUUUUACAUGUUAUUCCAGAGUGUUCAGAAUGAAAUGGUGUUAUGGGAGCCAAUAAUCAAAGAUCAGCCACCAGGGGAGGUUAGACUUUUAUGACUGUCAAUUCUCAUGCUUUAGAGAUAAAUAUAUGCAUGUGCAUCUCUUCAUCUUUUCUUUGCUGUUAUUGACUCCUAAUCAAGUGCAUCUCUCUGAUCUGACCUUCUAACGUGUUACUUCUUUUAUCCAAACAAGAAUAUAUAAUUAAAGAACUUUGUUUCUCGUUGAGUUUUUGUAGGGUUCUGCUGAUGUGCUCCAAAAGUACCCUGUUCCAGAAUGUGACAUGUGGUUUAUCAAGUUCUCUUGUGAUUUCCAUUACAAAGCUGCUGCUAUAGGUAAUACCAAUACAACUUUUGAAGCCCUUCCAUUCUGACAUACGCUAUUUUAUAGUGAAAAUGUCACUUUCAUCAUUUGAUAAUGUAUACGAGAUCGCCUUAAAAACUUGGCAAUUUUCACCAUCAUUGAUAAAGUAACCUGUGUGCCAGGAAAUAAAGAAGGAAAGAUUUUUGUUUGGGAUUUGCAGUCUAGCCCUCCUGUUCUCAUCACAAGGUUUUGUUGUUUUUUUUUUGUCAUAGUUCUCAUCACAAGCUUUAUUUGUAAAAUUUUGUAGUCUUUUUAAUGAAGCACACGGUAGAAGAGAACUCUUUAGGCAGGCAAUAAAUUUUGAUAUCUGAUAUCAUACUUCUUAUUUUAUUGUCAGGUUGUGUCAUGGAACAAAAUCAACUAUUAGGCAGACUGCAAUGUCCUACGAUGGAAAGUAAGUGACAUGCAGCAGCUUCCCUUCACUUACAUUCCAGACUUUAAGCAAGACUUCACAUGUUAAUUGUCUGCACUUUUUUAAUCUCAGAACUAUCCUUAGCUGCUCUGAUGAUGGAUAUAUUUGUCGUUGGGAUGAGGAUACAACUUCCUAGGCUCCCUAGCAUUGAGUUUGCUAGAACUAUAUGCUCAUCGUGUUUCGUUGGAGAUCACCCUCUUUUGCAUUUGUUGACAGAGAGCAUUGCACUAGUUUACUUGAUCAAAAUUGAAUUUAUAAUCCCGUGUUUUUGGAACAGAACAAAGAUUUUACCUUGCGCAGAAGUCUGUUUAAACAUGUUGGCUAAUUAUAUUUCUUUACUUUUACAAGCUUUGUUUGUAGUCAAAAUUUCUUGAAUUAAAUAGAUAAAUUAGAUGAAUCGGGAGGGACAGUUUCGAAAAACUUUCGAGACCCUGAGUUAAUCUUCUGGCUCGUUGUGGUAAAACUUUUCAUAUCUGAUCCUGUGAGAUACUGAGGCAGGAGGCUACUUGGCUGGUAAUUAAUGCCAACAAUCUCCCAGCUUUGUGUAAGAGUAAAACCUAUUACGGGGCCAAUUUAAUCUUUGAUCAAAAUGUGUAUUUUGUCAACACCCUGGCAAUAUCACGUCGAACUGUUUCAGGAUCAGCCUCUCACCAACUCAGCUUACUUGUCUUCAGGUAUAAUAGAAGUGAUUAGACAUUUACUAGAAAAUGAGUGGGCUUGUUCAUUUCCAAACAGCCGCCGAGUCACUCUGGUCCAAAACGUUCCCUCUUUCNNNNNNNNNNNNNNNNNNNNNNNNNNNNNNNNNNNNNNNNNNNNNNNNNNNNNNNNNNNNNNNNNNNNNNNNNNNNNNNNNNNNNNNNNNNNNNNNNNNNNNNNNNNNNNNNNNNNNNNNNNNNNNNNNNNNNNNNNNNNNNNNNNNNNNNNNNNNNNNNNNNNNNNNNNNNNNNNNNNNNNNNNNNNNNNNNNNNNNNNNNNNNNNNNNNNNNNNNNNNNNNNNNNNNNNNNNNNNNNNNNNNNNNNNNNNNNNNNNNNNNNNNNNNNNNNNNNNNNNNNNNNNNNNNNNNNNNNNNNNNNNNNNNNNNNNNNNNNNNNNNNNNNNNNNNNNNNNNNNNNNNNNNNNNNNNNNNNNNNNNNNNNNNNNNNNNNNNNNNNNNNNNNNNNNNNNNNNNNNNNNNNNNNNNNNNNNNNNUUUCCCUCCCUCCUCCAGAGUCGAGCCUUUGUCAACUUAUGCAUAGAGCGUGUUUGUCCCGGCUUAAAGCUGGGACUUAAAGCUGUUUCCAGCUUUAAGCUGAAAAAUGUCUGUUUGUGCAAUAAGUUAAAAGCCGGUUUAAGCCAAAAGCUGACUUAGAGGCCGAAGUUAGCUGGAGGUUCUUUUUUCAGUGACUUAAUUUUUUUAAACUUUUUCUUUGAUAAAAAUUACCCAUAAGUCAUAAGUUAUUCAUAAAUCACUUAUAUUUUUAUUUUUAUAUUUUUAAUAACUUAUAAGUCAUUCAUAAGUCAAAAUUACCUAAACAGAUAUUUUAAGCUGUCAACUUAUCAGAUAAAUUGCGUUAAGUCAUAAGCCACGUUAAGUCUUAAUCAUCUCCCGUUAAGCUCCGGAUAUCUUUACUGCUUAAACAAAAAAGACAAAAGGUUUUGAUUUAAAUAGAUUUUUAAAAAAAAUCUUAAAGGUUUUUUAAAAAUUUGAAGAGUUCCUUCUUCUGUCUAAGUACCCAUCCAUUUCUUUUCUCUUUUUUCUAAUUCAUAUAGUUUAAUUAAAUAUAAAAUGUAAAAAGGAUUAUAGAUAGUAUUUCCUCACCUUUAAAUAUAGGUCGCUUGAUUUUUUAAGACAUAUUUCUAAGUUUUUUGACCGCAUAACUAGAAUCAUUAUUUUUAUAUAUUCUAUUCGAAUCAUAAUAUUAAUAUAUUUUUAUUUAAAUUUUGUCUUAAAGAAUAAUGAUUUUAACCGUACGGUUAAAAUGCUGUAUUUCAAAAUAAAAAAUUCAUAUACUAAUAUUUUAAAAAUUAUAUAUUUUUAUGUUAUAUUUAAAAAUCAAGAGGAAGACCCCUAAAGAGUCUUUUCGUAUUUGAAAUUGUGGCUCUCAAAUAUAAACAGAGCAGGAAUGUCAAACAAAGACAAAUUAUUGCUAACAUUAUAUGAGAUACUCAAUUAAGUACUUAAACUUAAAAAUAAAAAAGUUAGGAUAAAAAUACUUGAACAAAUUAUAUGUACACUAAGUUAGUCUCGUUUAUUAAUAAAUCUAACUAAAAUUUGAUUUAAUUAUUGACGGGUUGAGUCGGUCAAAAUUAAAAAUAAUUUGAAUAUGUUUUAUUGAAUUAUGAACAUUCUACCCGAUCAAAGAAGUCGAAUGAUUUAAACUUUUAGUCACGUAAUCAUGAAUUAUAUAAUAAAUUUUAAUUUAUCAUAAAUAAAUAUAUAUAUAUAUAUAUAUAUAUAUAAUUGAUGUAAAAUCUGUACACUACACUUUGUAAUAAUUAAUUUAAUAAUUAUUAAUGAUAAAAUAACUACGAUAAUAAAAUCCAACUAAUAUAUUCCAUAUUAAAUUAUUAAUUAAUUAAGGCGAAAACCGUACGCGGCCGAAACAGAGAUCAUGCUAUGUUGAGGGCCCGUACGCAAAACGAAUUGGGCAUGAUACAAUCCACCAGUCCGCCACACUUUCAACCCUAGUUCGCCGCACUUUGACCACACUCUCACUUCAUCUCACCACUUAAAACUUAUCCAUAUAAAGCAUCUCAAGCCCUCGCUUCCAUGUUACUUCACCAAUCGUGCUCUUGAUUUUCUCAAUUCAAUUCUCAGGUAAACACUUAUCUAUCUUUAUUUAUACACACAUUGCUUUCAAUCAGCUUCGAGGAUCGUGUUGUGAUGGAUGUGUGUGAAUUUUGUGUAUGUACGUGUUUAUGUGUGUGCUGUAAUUGUGUAGAUUUGUCGAAAUGAGGAUUGUUGUGUUCGUCUUUAUCGUGUUGAUUGUGAUUGGUUUUGUGAUGAUGUGGAAUGGUGUGAAGAGACUGGAGUGAUGUGUGUUUUUGUUGUUUGUUUCUUGAGGAUUUAAAAUUGCAAAGCUCGGAUUUGUGAGAUACAUGUGAAUUGUGUGAUGAAUUAAAGAUUAUCUGAUUUUGAGUCUGUGAUGCUACUGAGGGGAUUGAUGAAUGAUGCAGCGGUGUUUAUAUGUGAUUGAGAGAUGACACUAAAAAUACUAGCAGGAUGAUACAAAGAUAGAGAUAUACAAUCUUGUGUUCUUCCUAGAGAAUAACUUGCCAGGGUAGAGCAUAGUAAGUGAAACAGAAACUUUUUUGCCAUCUAUAACUGAAACCGAAUAAAACCAGUACGAACUGAACUAAUUAAUUGAAUUACCCAUUUGGUUGUCUAAGUUGGCUGUUUAAUUGGUAGCUCAUUAAUUAACGCUCAAAUGGUAACUCUAGUAAGUACCGAUUUUUUUGUAGUUUCAAACCUAAUCCCAGACUAUCCCAUGCCCAGUAGGUAGGUAGGCUUGUUAGUGGACCGUGGCUUCGAUCUGAGCCUUAACAAAAGGAUAUGAACUGUAUUAAAUAAAUCUGAUCCACUAAUAACCUAACCUAAUAAGGAUCGAUGGGUUAAAAGCAAAUAUGGAUUUCCGCUCAUCCGAUGUAAUAAAGACCCUAUGACCCUAUCCAAUUGCACCUGAUUAUAUAUAUAAUCUAAUAUAUUCUCAUGUAUAAAAUAAAUUUGAUAAUGCUUGACCAAAUUAUUUAACUAUUAUGCAUUCUUUAUAUCAUUGGAAUUGCUGUGUUGUCUCUCUUUCACACACACACACACACACACACAAUUAUAUUAGAUUUCCUCUUCCGCACACAUCGUUAUUUCAUUAAUUUCAAUCGAUUGAAUGCUGUGUGUUUAUAGUUCAUCCACAUAUACUUAAUUUGAGUUUUUUUCAUGAUAUAAAUGAAAUCUUUAUUCCUUGUUCGCAGUCUUCUCCUCUCCUUUAUUAGUAUUGGCAAAUGAGUUCCAACACUCAAGUGGAGCAGACUUUGAGACAUAUUCUUCAGGUUAUCAAUCCUACAAGGGAUGAUUGGGAAGCAAGAUUUCAUAUCAUUGAAGAUGUGCGAGAUGCUGUUCAGACUGUGGAAAGCCUGAGAGGUAUUAAUGCGUUAUGACUAGUAGCUCCCUAGCUUACGUACAUUCUUGAUUCCUGCAAUCUUCAGAUCGAGACAUGAAAUGGGAUUGGUCAGGAAUGAAGAUUUAUCUGGCAGUUUUAUUGUUAGAUUUUAUCUUGCUCAUACUUAACAUUUUUUUCAUCUCCUAGUUCAGAAAUUACUAACUGGUACUCGCAUGCUUAUCUAAAAAAAAAAACAAAAAAAAACCUGGUACUGGCAUAGGUCAGACCUAAUAGGUCUGCAUCCUACUCUCAUGCUAUCAGAAACAUAGAUAAAUUGAUAUGGAAAUUGAGAUAUUUUAUGAUGACUAAUACACACACACAUUACACAUAUAUAAUUGGUGCUUAAUUGGAUGGUAUAUCAUUGUUCCUUUUUUAAAAUUGAAAUGGCUUUAUGCCAAACAGAACUCACAGCUUAAAUGGUGUACACAGGUGCAACCGUGGAACCAUUUGGUUCAUUUGUAUCCAAUCUGUUCACAAGAUGGGGGGAUUUGGAUAUUUCUAUAGAGAUACUUACGGGUUCGCAUAUAUCGAAUACGGCAAGAAAGCAGAAGCAAAGUUGGCUAGCAGAUGUACUAAGAGCGCUUAGAAGGAAAGGUAAUCUAUUUAAAGAUCUGAAACUAUAUGCAUACUGUGAAAUCAUUGUUGUCCCUUGUGACAUUUCACGGUAUAAAGUUAUGAACUUAAGGCAAUAAUCAAUAUGUGUGCUGCCGACAAGUUUCUUCAUUCUUACAAAUUACUUCCAAAAAUUGCUGAUGUCAGUUGCCUAAUCAUCACUUCCUGGUGUUGUGUGUGUGUGUGUGUGUGUGUGUGUGGGCAAUCUUUGAUCGGCAGAAUAGUAAAAAGUAGUUAUCCAUAAAGGAUAAAUAUUGUAUUAUGAUUCAGUAAAGUUUCUUAUGUUGCAUCUACCUCCUUAUAGGUAAAGUUUCUAUGCUAGUAGAGGCUAUUUGUACCAAUAGAUUAAAAAUAUAUUAGUAACUAUGAAAAUAUAGUUGAUCCAUAUGUGUGUAACAUUGAUCUGGGGAUUAUAUAUAAAGGUAUGAAGCAAAUAAUGAAAUAUAUUGUUCAUAGAAGUGUACCUCUUUGCAGGAACAUGGCUCAAGCUCAGAUUUGUCGCCAAUGCCAGGGUACCCAUCUUGAAGUUAGAGCACAAACUUCAAAAUAUCUCGUGUGACAUCUCCAUUAAUAAUUUGCUUGGUCAAAUGAAGUCUAAGAUGUUGUUUUGGAUCAAUGCGAUUGAUGGACGCUUUCGAGAUAUGGUUUUGCUGGUAUUUCGCUAUACCAAAUUUGAGAUGCCUGUCUCAGGAGUUAUAUACACCAUUUUGAUAUGUGUCAUAUGUGUAGGUCAAGGAAUGGGCCGGAGCACAUGAUCUAAACGAAUCAAAGUCUGGGUCUUUGAAUUCAUACUGCCUCAGCUUGCUAGUUAUCUUUCAUUUUCAGGUAAUAUCAGUCCCUUUUGCAUGUGGUGAAUAUUAAUUUCGAACUAUUACUGGUUCUCAAGUAAGUGAAUAGUGAUAUACAAGUCCGGGAAGCAUGGAUUUUCAAAAAAAAAGUCUGGGAAGUAUGGGUGCGGCAGUUAGGUACAGCACCGCACACCGGGUGCGCCACCCGGCUUAUUCUGUACUUCGCUGGCGGGAUUUGUAGGGGAUACGGGAUGAGUAUACGGGGAUUUAAAAAAGCCGGGACUUGUAUCCUCAAUUUCAGUUUUGAGCCAUAAUUGGAACAUACUUACAUAUCGAGGGAGAAAAUCUCAGCUCCAACCAUCAUCUCUGCUUAGUUGUUGUGUCAUCUGUUAGUGUAUGUAUAUAUGUAUCUCGUGUAUGUAUAUAUGCAUAAGGACAGGGGGUCAGUUUGUGAGUGUGUGUAUAUGGACCAGCUGACUAGUACAGUAAUUGGAGGUUGAUUUUGGUUGGCUUUUUUUUAGUUUGAUUUUAUUAAAUUCAAUUGUCAAUUAGUUUAUAUUUAGGUAUUAAUAAGUGAUUUAUGGGAAGUAGUGUACAAAACUACAAAUUAUGUCUUUUAUUUGUCAAGACUCAAGCUUGAUGAACUUAUGUAUUUGACUAUUUCAUUCAAUUUGAUUACCUCUUCUUCAUUUUAUUAAUUAAUUAUGAAAGUAUUACACACACACACACACAUAUAUAUAUAUAUAUAAUACUUUAAUAAUUGCCGAAUCCCCCCAAACCUGGAUCCCCAUAUUCUUAAUUUUCCCGAAUUAGCGUAUCACCGCACCCGCACUUGUGCUUCCUAGAUACAAGUAAAGUCCUCCUAAGCUCUUUAGAGAUUAAAAGAGACACCGCCUGUUCUAUUAUCAAAAGAGACUGAGACUCAAAACCAAUUGCAUCCAUGGAGAAAAGAAAACAAAUUGUCAUAUGUAACAUAUCAUGCAUCAUGUAUUAUUAUCUAGCCUUUUCUACAGCAUUUUCCAUGUUCUUAAGUUGCCUAAAAUUAUUAGAUUGCUGUCAUUCUGUGUUUGCUUAGGAUGAUUUUAGUAUGGCUGAAUAGGGAUGUUCUGUAGCCUUCUGACACCAACUGAUUAGCAAAAAAAAAUUAGUGCUGUUUUCUGCCCAGCCACUUUGGUCUAGUGUUAUUAAAAUUAUAUUGCCCAAGUCUUAUUUAAAAUUGAAACCAGAAUCACUACAAUCCAGGCUUAUUUUUAUAUAUAUCUUGCAGACUUGUGUACCUGCAAUUCUACCUCCUCUUAAAGAACUCUAUCCAGGAGAUAUGGCACAUGACCUUCGAGGUACCAUUUUUGAUAUAGUUAUAUAUUAUUCAGAGGUAAAGAUCGCUGUUAGUGAGUUCUCAUAUUUAUAUUAUAUCAAAAAUCAUGUCUAGUUAUUUAGCAGGGAAAAAAAAAAAAAAAUCAUGUCUAGCUUAACUUUAACAGUCCUCUCAAAUUGGUGGAGAUAUCUGAUAUGACUUUUGAUUGAUCUUCUUUUUAACUUAAGAGUUCAAAAUCUCAUAUACAGGUGAUCAUAUGGUGGAAUAAAAAUGGGAAGGUAAUAAGUGGUAUACUGGUAUAUGGGCUUACAGUGUAGUGAGUGUGUUGAAAUGAAAUUCAAAUGUAAUACCGAGGUUGAGCAUACUCUAAUCUCAGGGGUCCAAACUGUAGUUCCACUUCUUUGGUUUUGUUGUACACAUUAUGGUAACUAAUUGUUUGAAAUAUGGGAAUUUCUGUUGAUGAAGUCCAUCAAGAUUAAUUUGCAAGCCAGCCAAUAUAGACAUAGGGGUACACGAGUAAUAUUGGCUUAUGUUUGAUUUCUCAUUUUCUACGAGAGUAGGGAAAAUUUAGUCAGCCUAUCAAGAUGGUUUGAUGGAAAUAUGAACAGAUCUUAAAGAUGGUAUGGCAAUGUUGCAAACUUCUUGUGUAUCUUGAAGAUCACAUGAUAUUAAUCUGUGCUGGGGUUAGGAUUUAUUACAGUUAUAGAUAUGCAGUUUGUUAUGCACCAAAAGCACGAAACCACUUUUAGAAUCUGGCCGUUCAAAAUCCAAAAUAAGUUGCUCUGAAUAAUGCUUUCAUUUUUCCCAUACAGGUGUGAGAACUGAUGCUGAGAAACAAAUUGAGGAAACAUGUGCUGUGAACAUAAACAGGUUUCGGUUGAAUAGAUUUAGGCAGAGAAACCCAAGUUCUUUAUCUGAUCUGCUCAUCUCAUUCUUUGCGAAGGUAUUUUCACAAUCAGAACUGAUGUGGGUUGCAAAAAUAGUGUAAACACAAACAUGACCUGCCAGAUAACAUACAUCUUUUGCUCUUCAUAGUAUGUGUGUGUUUGCAGUAAAAAAUGCCUGGCACUAAUUUUGGUGUAGCGAAAUAAUUACUGUAUAUACAUUAUUCUUUCGCAGUUCUCUGACAUUGACGUAAGGGCCUCAGAACAAGGGAUCAACCCUUACUCUGGAGAGUGGGAAGAUGUUGAGAGCAACAUGGCAUGGCUGCCCAGAACAUUUGCACUCUAUGUAUGUUGUCUCUGUAUAUAUCUCCCCCCCCCCCCCCCCCGCGCGGUUCCCUCUCAUUCACACAUAGAUACCGUGCUUUAUUAGCUGCUUAAGCCUUAAUAAAGGCAUCUGUACCUCCAGAUUUAACCUUUUUCUGUUGCCAUGUUUUCUCAUCAAUGGGACCUCAUUAGCUGCUUAAACCUUAAUAAGCGCAUCUGUAACUCCAGAUUCAACUUUUAUCUGUUGCCAUGUUUCUCAUAAUGGGGCCUUAUUAGCUGCUUAAGCCUUGAUGUAGGCAUUUUUAGCUCUAGAUUCAAUUUUAUGUUGGCAUGUUUUUCAUUAAUGGGACCUUAUUAGCUGCUUUUUUUUUUUUUUUUUGCUGAAUACCUUAUUAGCUGCUUAAGCCUUAAUAAAGGCAUUUCUAGCUCCAGAUUUAACUUUUUGUCUGUUUUGGUAAAUAUAUUUUUUAGGUUGAGGAUCCAUUUGAGCAGCCUGCUAAUACUGCAAGGUCGGUUACCAGUAACAAUUUAACAAGAUUAGCAGAUGCAUGUCGAGCAACCAACUACAUACUGAGCUCAAAUGAUCACAACCAGGCUGCUCUCUUUGCUACACUAGUUGGACAACAUCGAUUGCCAACUGCGACGAGAUCACAAGUCAGAAACACAAAUAACCCUGGAAACUACAACCAAGGCCGUCCAUGGGUAAACAGAUCACAUCAAAGUCGUGAUACAAGGAAUAAUGGUCAUUCCAGCAGUGCCAACAGGAACAGACCAGUUCAGCCUAACCAAAGUCAAGCACAGCAGCAGACUUGGAGGCCAAGACCCAGUAGUUAGAUACAUAUCAUGUAUCAAAUGCCUAAAUUUACUGUACCAUUACUGGAGUUCUUUGCACAGGCCACAUGGUCUAAACGUAAAAUUUUUACAAUUGAGUAUCAGUUGAGAGAACUGUACAGAUUAUAUACAAUUUUUUACAAAUUUAUACAAAUUAUUUUAGUUGACAUUCAUGGGCAAGUUUGAGUUUUUGUGCGAUCGUUUUUUUUAUAAUGUGUAUUAAAGGAGGGAGUUUUGACAGGAGGGUGGUCUUUAAAACCAGUGCGGUGUUUGGUUAAUGAGUUUGAGUUUGGUGAAUGGGAACUGAAACCCUGAUUCGGGUGUAAUUGUGUGGCUUAUUGAUUUCAUUGCUGGUAACGGGAAGUUCAUUUCCUGUUGAUUCCCAAUAGACGAGUAAUUUAUUUCCUCAAUACAUUUUGAAAUUUAUAUCAUUAUAAAUGUUUUUAAAAUCUCAUUUCCUUUCACAAUUCGCAUCCCAUUUGGCCCCGAGGACAUGAACAUUAACCUCCCUUAAAAUGUUUUAAUUUUGUGCACCUAAUUUGAAACUUAUACCCGAUCCGAUCCAAAACGUGUACUUUCGUGUACAUUAUAUAUAAAAAUAUUAAUAAAUUUAAUAUAUAUUAAUCAUGUAUAAUUUUACUAAGUGUAAAUGAUAUAUUUAUAUUCGUAUACAAUUUUAUACAAAUUUGUUAAUGUAUCUUUAAUAUAUACCUACACAUACAUAUAAAUAUAUGUUUUUUACAUAAUUAAAUAUCUAAUAUAUUAUAUAUUUUGCAUAUUUUCGUGUAUUUCGUAUACCCAAAAUGAAAAUUCAUAUUCGACACGAUAUCUAUCGUGUAAUUUCGUGUUCGUGUACUGUAUCGAAAUUCAAAAUCCAUAUCCAUUUUUUUCGUGUAGUUUCGUUUCAUGUUAGCGUGUUACGUGUCAAAUGGCCCAGUAGGUUUUACCAAUACUUCAAUAGUUAUGUGUCAUUUGUUUAUAGGAUGUUAUAAUUAUUUUAUUUUACAAAAUAUUGCACUAAUUUCCAAAAAAAACUGAAAUAUAAAUUAUGUUAAACAUCUCUUAGUUAUUAAUUUUUUUGGAAAUUUAUAUAAAUAUAUGCUUUUUUAGAAAAUUAUUUUUUGACAAAAAGUUAUACUACCAAACAUUGUACUUUGAUAUUAUUGACUAAUCUAUAUUUCAAAAAUAAUAAUUUAUUAUAAUGAAAAUAUAAGAAAAUGUCCUAAAUCUCACAGUUUAAUAUUGAUAGUAAAGUUCAGUAAUGUUAAAAUUAAAUGCCUCCUGCUAAUCAUUAGUAAUACUGCAGCAGUGCCAUCUUAAACUAACAAAGAAAGCACACACUUUUUACUGCAACUUUUUAUGAUCAUCUUAUCAUACUAGAUAUAAAAAUAUAAAUAAAAACUUAAAUGCAUUUAAACAAAUCCAAUUACUGGUUCAAAUUUGAAUUAAGGACAUAUAAAAUUCGGAUUUAGUGCUAUACGCAGACAUACACUUUGAACACAAUUCAUUCGACUUCUUCAAUUACAUAUAAUAGUACCACAUUACCCCCAAAUCGAAAUACAUAAACCCUAAUUUCAUCCCUCCUUCAAGCUCUCUCGCCCCUGAUCCUCCUGGCAAGCUGAAUAUCCUUAGGCAUGAUGGUGACACGCUUGGCGUGAAUCGCGCAGAGAUUAGUAUCUUCGAAGAGUCCAACCAGAUAAGCCUCGGCAGCCUCCUGGAGAGCAGCCACAGCAGAGCUCUGGAACCGAAGAUC